Molecule: long non-coding RNA, 400 nt
Filed under: Theobroma cacao (cacao)
Lineage: Eukaryota; Viridiplantae; Streptophyta; Magnoliopsida; Malvales; Malvaceae
Description: long non-coding RNA (TCAC_LNC004235)
Source: RNAcentral
CAUAAGUUUCUGCAGAUCAGCCUGCCCGGCAACUGGCAUCAUCAUUCCAGGGAUUUGAUAGCCGAUGUUUGGCCAAGUUUGAGUGGGUAUGCUCGAGCCGUUGGAUGCAGGCUGUUGAGUAUUUCCAGGAGCGGAUUUAGCUGCAGCAGCCAUGAGAAGAGACUGUUGCUGUGCUAGCAUAGCUAGUUGCUGUGCAGGCUGUUGAGUAUUUCCAGGAGCAGAUUUAGCUGCAGCAGCCAUGAGAAGAGACUGUUGCUGUGCUAGCAUAGCUAGUUGCUGUGCAGGCAGUUGAGUAUUUCCAGGAGCAGAUUUAGAAGCAGCAGCCAUGAGAAGAGACUGCUGCUGUGAUAGCAUAGAUAGUUGCUGUUGAUGCAUCGCAAAAGGUGACACCAUAUUGGAC